UUCGGUAAUUAAUAUAAAAAGAAUAUUUACUAAAGUAUACUAUACAAAAAUACAAUAUUAAACCAAUCAAUUAAGCAGAUAAAAUUAUUUCACCUAUGACAUGCAUAAUAUAUCGAGAAAAAUGCAGGCUCUAGCUGACACAACAUUUAAGUGGAAGCUCUAUAGAGCAUAGCUGGACAAUUAAUAUCUAAGUUGAAUCUUGCAUAAUUCAAAGAUGAGUAUACAUAUAAAGUAAUACCCUCUUCCAAGCCAGAAAUUUAAACUUAUAGACAAGCAGAAUCUACCCUAAAAAUUAAUCAAAGAAAAAAGAAAACUAAAACAUAACAUUUGGAGGGUUAAAUCCAAAAAUAAUUUAUUGACUACUCCAGUAAGUCUCUGGUCACUAACAGACCUGAAAAACGACAAUCUGCACAGAUUGAUCUGUUUCAUGAUACUCAAUAUGUUUACAUUCUGAUGUUGUGAUGAAAGCCAUACAAAAAUCCCAGCAAUGUCUGUUUUACCAAACACAAAAGAUGACCCUAAUGAGAGAAUUGAAGAAGAAAAGGACUAGAAACUAGUAAAGGAAAACGCACUUGUGCCAACCGAACAUGUAAUGGGAUUAUUAAGAUUUCUGAUUACAAAGAAAACGAAGAAGGCCUACCACAUGAAGACCAUAGUUAACCAUUUGUUGGCCAAAAAUAAACAAACUAUCAUAUCUAAAAAUGAAAAAGGUAGUUAUACAGAAAUGAGACAUUUAACUAUAAAUAAUCUAUUCAUAGAAUUCUAAAUAUUCUUAAUUACAUUUAAAUAAAAAAAAAAUUCAAAACAUCAUAGGCAAGUAGUAAAAAAAUGUACAAAUUAAUAAAUUGAAAUUAUAGAAUGUUUAGUACAAUUGGAAUAAGUUAGCGCAUAAUAGAUAAACAGAUA
Cimex lectularius (bed bug) is the source of this 906-nucleotide long non-coding RNA. RefSeq lists it as uncharacterized. NCBI's taxonomy places the organism in Eukaryota, Metazoa, Arthropoda, Insecta, Hemiptera, Cimicidae. The record is from RefSeq and is a predicted model, not a curated record. The transcript has 2 exons.